AUGUCGCGGUCGCGUACAGUGCGAAUCUACUGGGACGAUCCCGACGUGACGGACUCGUCCAGUGAGGACGACGAGGGCUGCGCCGCUCGGAGGGUGGGAAGGAUGGUGCGGGAGCUUCCGCCGGCCCCGGCGCCGCUUGUGCAGGCUGCUGCUGCUUCGCCGGAGCAGUGCAGCGCGGGAGACGACGACCUGCCGAGGCGUGUUGGUGGAUGUACCGGUGCGCGGAAGAGGCUGGCCAAGGGCGGCGGCUCCGCUGCGCAGAGCACCAAGUUCCGCGGCGUCAGGCGGCGGCCGUGGGGCAAGUACGCGGCGGAGAUCCGCGACCCGUGGCGCGGCGUGCGCCUCUGGCUCGGCACCUUCGACACCGCCGAGGAGGCCGCGCGCGUGUACGACAACGCGGCCAUUCAGCUCCGCGGCGCCACCGCCACGACCAACUUCUCCACGUCCACCAACUCGGAGGGCGGCCAGGAGGACCUGACGGCGGCCGGGUACGAGUCCGGCGCGGAGUCCUCGCAGGCGGUGUCGUCCCCGACGUCCGUGCUCCGCAAGGUGCCGUCGAUGUCGUCCUUGGCGGAGGACAGGGGCGACUCGGAGGCCUGCCAAGGCGACGCCGCCGCUGCUGGCAGCAGCCUCAGCGUUCCGGAGGAGUUGGGCGAGUUCGUGCCGUUCGAGGACGCACCGGUCUACUCCAGCAGCAGCUUCUGGGACUUCGAGCCGCAGUCGGGGUUCCUCUACGCCGAGCCGUCCUCAGCCGAGGAGGCUUCGUGGGACGCGUCCGCCGGCGGCGAGGCCGAGCCGUGGGCCGCGCCGGUGCAGGAGAACGACUACUUCCAGGAUUUGCGCGACCUGUUCCCGCUCAACCAGCUUCCCGCGAUUUUCUAG
This 882-nucleotide ribosomal RNA is filed under the name Triticum aestivum (bread wheat). Its description in RNAcentral is "partial small subunit ribosomal RNA". The record is from RNAcentral. Lineage: Eukaryota; Viridiplantae; Streptophyta; Magnoliopsida; Poales; Poaceae.